GAUGAACGCUGGCGGCGUGCCUAAGACAUGCAAGUCGAGUGGGUUUAGACCCACGGCGAACGGGUGAGUAAUACCUAGGAACUUUCUUUAAGUGGAGCAUAACCAGCCGAAAGGUUGGACAAUUCUCCAUGUGACCGUAAGGUCAAAGGACGCAAGUCGCUUAAAGUGAGGCCUGGGCACCAUCAGCUAGUUGGUAGGGUAAAAGCCUACCAAGGCUAUGACGGUUAGGGGCCCCCGAGAGGGGAGACCCCCACACUGGAACUGCGACACGGUCCAGACUCCUACGGGAGGCAGCAGUUUGGAAUUUUGGACAAUGGGCGAAAGCCUGAUCCAGCGACGCCGCGUGGACGAUGAAGGCCU
Molecule: ribosomal RNA, 360 nt
Filed under: uncultured bacterium
Lineage: Bacteria
Description: bacterial SSU rRNA
Rfam family: Bacterial small subunit ribosomal RNA
Source: RNAcentral